UAAUACACAGGUUUCCUGGCCAGAGCUCA
Molecule: non-coding RNA, 29 nt
Filed under: Rattus norvegicus (Norway rat)
Lineage: Eukaryota; Metazoa; Chordata; Mammalia; Rodentia; Muridae
Source: RNAcentral